CCUACGGGAGACUGCAGUGAGGAAUAUUGGUCAAUGGACGAGAGUCUGAACCAGCCAAGUAGCGUGAAGGAUGACUGUCCUAUGGGUUGUAAACUUCUUUUAUAUGGGAAUAAAAUGUUCCACGUGUGGGAUUCUGUAUGUACCAUAUGAAUAAGGAUCGGCUAACUCCGUGGCAGCAGCCGCGGUAAUACGGAGGAUCCGAGCGUUAUCCGGAUUUAUUGGGUUUAAAGGGGGCGCAGGCGGAUUGUGAAGUCAGUUGUGAAAGUUUGCGGCUCAACCGUAAGAUUGCAGUUGAAACUGGCUGUCUUGAGUGCAGUAGAGGUGGGCGGAAUUCGUGGUGUAGCGGUGAAAUGCUUAGAUAUCACGAAGAACUCCGAUUGCGAAGGCAGCUCACUGGACUGCAACUGACGCUGAGGCUCGAAAGUGUGGGUAUCAAACAGGAUUAGAUACCCCUGUAGUC
This 460-nucleotide ribosomal RNA is filed under the name uncultured bacterium. RNAcentral's name for it is "partial 16S ribosomal RNA". It matches the Rfam family "Bacterial small subunit ribosomal RNA", at positions 338 to 795 of the family's 1533-position model. The record is from RNAcentral.